This 400-nucleotide ribosomal RNA is filed under the name uncultured bacterium. RNAcentral describes it as "bacterial SSU rRNA". It matches the Rfam family "Bacterial small subunit ribosomal RNA", at positions 355 to 752 of the family's 1533-position model. The record is from RNAcentral.
UGGGGAAUAUUGGACAAUGGGUUAACGCCUGAUCCAGCCAUCCCGCGUGAAGGACGACGGUUCUAUGGAUUGUAAACUUCUUUUAUAUAGGGAUAAACCUACUCUCGUGAGAGUAGCUGAAGGUACUAUAUGAAUAAGCACCGGCUAACUCCGUGCCAGCAGCCGCGGUAAUACGGAGGGUGCAAGCGUUAUCCGGAUUUAUUGGGUUUAAAGGGUCCGUAGGCGGGCUUGUAAGUCAGUGGUGAAAUCCGGCAGCUCAACUGUCGAACUGCCAUUGAUACUGCAAGUCUUGAGUAAAUUAGAAGUGGCUGGAAUAAGUAGUGUAGCGGUGAAAUGCAUAGAUAUUACUUAGAACACCAAUUGCGAAGGCAGGUCACUAUGUUUUAACUGACGCUGAUGG